GAGUGCAUCCUUUAUGUUUUGCUAGUUUCCUCUUAGAAACUACAAAGAUCUUCCUUAAAUAGUGUUGCAAUGGGAAUUAAUGCAAGGGAACAAGAGUGACAGGCAUGCCCAUGUGGCCAUGAGACACAGAACCCCCAAGAAUCGUUUCUGAGUGGACAGGGUGAAGGUUCUGAAGCUGUUAAAGACAGAGUUAAGCCCAGCUGAUGUUAGAGUUAGCUGGCAAACCUUCUCUCUCUCCUGGUCUCCAUUGGACUUUGGACUGACAGAUCUACUAUCAAGAGAAAGCAGAAGUCUUCCCACUUCCUUUAGCUGAACUAAUAUAGAGGAAGACCUCAGCCAUACUCCGAACCUCAACAACCUCCUGUCAGGACUUGUUUAGGACCAAUGACAUCACAGAGUGAUGUCUUGACUGAUGAGUGAAUUGGAUUUAAAUGAGGCAGAGUUACACAAAAUCAACAGCCUUGCUUUCUCUUCCAGUGUCAUUGUAGUGCAGUGGCAAGAUAAAAAGUCAACAUGGUUGGUACUCCCAUACACAUUUGGAUUCCAGAAAGAUUCACCUGUCCCUGCCAUGAUUCCCAUCCCAACAACAAGCUUGGGAGAAUGCAGAUACAGAGACUGUGCUAAAACAACAAGAUGCUCUACCAACUUGAUAACAAAUUGAGACACUUGCAGCCCAAGCAAAACAAAGAACAAGAAAGAAUUUACACCUCUUGAUUGUACUGAUGCCUCAUUUCUUGCCAUGUCAACCCUUUUAUCUAUACCCUCUGGCAUUUCUGCCACUGAAAGUCUCUCAUCUCCCAUUACUCAUUUUUCCUUAUGGAAACUCAUUGCUUCUCUCUGCCCUCCUGUGUUACUCCACUCUAGUGGCAAAAAUGAUUUAAAAUACAUUCAAGCUUGCACAUUGAUUGUACAGUGUAUUUUCUCC
RNAcentral lists this long non-coding RNA (925 nucleotides) under Monodelphis domestica (gray short-tailed opossum). RNAcentral's name for it is "lncRNA (ENSMODG00000050706.1)". The record is from RNAcentral. Lineage: Eukaryota; Metazoa; Chordata; Mammalia; Didelphimorphia; Didelphidae.